UACACGACCGUACCGCAAACCGACACUGGUGCGCGAGAUGAGUAUUCUAAGGCGCUUGAGAGAACUCAGGAACUCGGCAAAUUGACACCGUAACUUCGGAAGAAGGUGUGCCUUUAGUAGGUGAAGUCCCUCGCGGAUGGAGCCCAAUGAGGUCCAAAAAAUCGGUGGCUGCGACUGUUUAUUAAAAACACAGCACUCUGCAAACACGAAAGUGGACGUAUAGGGUGUGACGCCUGCCCGGUGCGGGAAGAUUAAAUGAUGGGGUGCAAGCUCUUGAUUGAAGUCCCAGUAAACGGCGGCUGUAACUAUAACGGUCCUAAGGUAGCGAAAUUCCUUGUCGGGUAAGUUCCGACCUGCACGAAUGGCGUAACGAUGGCCACACUGUCUCCACCUGAGACUCAGCGAAGUUGAAAUGUUUGUGAUGAUGCAAUCUCCCCGCGGAAAGACGGAAAGACCCCAUGAACCUUUACUGUAGCUUUGUAUUGGACUUUGAACAGAUCUGUGUAGGAUAGGUGGGAGGCUUUGAAGUAGGGUCGCUAGAUCUUAUGGAGCCAACGUUGAAAUACCACCCUGGUGUGUUUGAGGUUCUAACCUAGGUCCAUUAUCUGGAUCGGGGACAGUGCAUGGUAGGCAGUUUGACUGGGGCGGUCUCCUCCCAAAGCGUAACGGAGGAGUUCGAAGGUACGCUAGUUACGGUCGGACAUCGUGACGAUAGUGCAAUGGCAUAAGCGUGCUUAACUGCGAGACUGACAAGUCGAGCAGAUGCGAAAGCAGGACAUAGUGAUCCGGUGGUUCUGUAUGGAAGGGCCAUCGCUCAACGGAUAAAAGGUACUCUGGGGAUAACAGGCUGAUACCGCCCAAGAGUUCAUAUCGACGGCGGUGUUUGGCACCUCGAUGUCGGCUCAUCUCAUCCUGGGGCUGUAGCCGGUCCCAAGGGUAUGGCUGUUCGCCAUUUAAAGAGGCACGUGAGCUGGGUUUAAAACGUCGUGAGACAGUUUGGUCCCUAUCUUCCGUGGGCGCUGCAGAUUUGAGGAAGCCUGCUCCUAGUACGAGAGGACCGGAGUGGACACACCUCUGGUGUAUCGGUUGUCACGCCAGUGGCAUUGCCGAGUAGCUAAGUGUGGAAGAGAUAACCGCUGAAAGCAUCUAAGCGGGAAACUCGUUUCAAGAUGAGAUCUGCCGGGGCCUUGAGCCCCCUAAAGAGUCGUUCAAGACCAGGACGUUGAUAGGUCAGGUGUGGAAGCGCAGUAAUGCGUUAAGCUAACUGAUACUAAUUGCUCGUGCGGCUUGACCA
This 1294-nucleotide ribosomal RNA is filed under the name metagenome. RNAcentral describes it as "bacterial LSU rRNA". It matches the Rfam family "Bacterial large subunit ribosomal RNA", at positions 1635 to 2925 of the family's 2925-position model. The record is from RNAcentral.